RNAcentral lists this ribosomal RNA (108 nucleotides) under Caerostris darwini. The record is from RNAcentral. Lineage: Eukaryota; Metazoa; Arthropoda; Arachnida; Araneae; Araneidae.
GCCGUACCAUGCUGAAUAUACCGGUUCUCGUUAGAUCACCGAAGUUAAGCAUCAUUGGGCGCGGUCAGUACUUGGGUGGGUGACCACCUGGGAACACUGCGUGCCGUU